CAGCCGCCGCGGUAGUACGAAGGGGGCUAGCGUUGCUCGGAAUGACUGGGCGUAAAGGGCGCGUAGGCGGUUUUGACAGUCAGAUGUGAAAUUCCUGGGCUUAACCUGGGGGCUGCAUUUGAGACGUCAAGACUAGAGUGUGAGAGAGGGUUGUGGAAUUCCCAGUGUAGAGGUGAAAUUCGUAGAUAUUGGGAAGAACACCGGUGGCGAAGGCGGCAACCUGGCUCAUUACUGACGCUGAGGCGCGAAAGCGUGGGGAGCAAACAGGAUUAGAUACCCCCGUAGUCCCUGUCUCUUAUAC
RNAcentral lists this ribosomal RNA (301 nucleotides) under uncultured bacterium. RNAcentral describes it as "partial 16S ribosomal RNA". It matches the Rfam family "Bacterial small subunit ribosomal RNA", at positions 509 to 807 of the family's 1533-position model. The record is from RNAcentral.